UACCGGGCUAACGAGACGUGCUAGCGACAGUUAGCCCACCAUUGGCUGUCCCGACUGCCGAGGUUGGGAGGCAGUGGCGACAGGGAAGGAGCCCGGACCGACGGACCUUUUUGGAGGAAAUAACCGAGAGAGAGAGAGAGAGAGAGAGCACCAGAAACCCGGACGAAAACCCGGGAUUAUAAAGCUUUUUUAUUCGAUGUUUGGAGCUCCCAAAACGGAUCAAACCGUCGCUAACGUUCAAUGUUAGCUGGAAGUUUUCGAGUGGAGCGCUGAUGUGGUGACGCGACUCUAAGCUAACGUUAGCCGAUAGAUUAAUCAUCUCAGCAGAGCUUUUGGAGACAUUUCUGGAUUUUUAAACUCGUUUUUAGUGUUUUCGUAAUAAUGUAAGAUACAUAGCUACGAGAUAGUAUAUCAUGUUGUGUACUUUUAUAUGGAAUACGGCGUAUCCGUAGACAACUACCUGACGUUAUCUUAGCUAAGUUAGUGUAUGAAACUAGCGAGCGUUAGCUACCUAGCUGGCUAGUAGCUAACGUUAGCUAGCUGUCGAGUUUUAACUGACUUCAAGCCAAAGAAUUCUGCUUCAAAUUAGCUAAGGCUAGCGAGGCUAAAACUAGUUUCCACGUCACCUCAUCACACAUAUCUAGCUACCUGUUGUGAAAUGUUGUUGCUGGUGAGUUUACCUUUUAUUUUCAAAGAUGGACGUUUGUUUUGAAAAGCAAAGAUACACACCAUACUUCCAAAUCUAAAUAUGCAAUCAUCGAAUCACCAUCUUACUUAAUGCUAGCUUGCUAACGUUGAGUUAGCCGGCCAAACUUGGAGUACUGCCCCCUGCUCACUUGAUGUGGGUUUCGCUUUGAGGCCUUUAGGAAAUUAUCCUUUUUUCCACCGAUAAGACCCUUUUCACAGCCUUAAUGCAGCCCAGCCUCCGCAUGGGAUUUCUACUCUGAAUCGCCUCCGGAUAUUUGUGAGAAUUGCCUGUUGGAGUACCUGGAGUUGUUGUCAAUAACGUGGAUUACAGAGGCAGUUGGAAGACCAAUAAUCCUUAAAGAUGAUGUGCGAGGUGAUGCCCACCAUCAGCGAGAGCGAAGGGGGGGGCGGCGGUGGUCGACGAGGAUCUGGCUCCCCAUUGCAGUCGGACUCAGAAGGUCACUUUGAGUCGCUGAUGGUGUCCAUGCUGGAGGAGAGGGAUCGUCUUCUUGAGACUCUGCGGGAGACGCAGGAGAAUCUGGGCUUGACUCAGGGCAAACUGCAUGAAGUCAGUCACGAACGAGACUCACUGCAGAGACAACUCAACACUGCAUUGCCACAGGAGUUUGCUGCACUAACAAAGGAGGUGAACGUGUGCCGGGAGCAGCUUCUGGAGAAGGAGGAGGAGAUUGCUGAGCUCAAGGCGGAGAGAAACAACACACGGCUCCUGUUGGAGCACCUGGAGUGCCUGGUGUCUCGCCAUGAACGUAGUCUGAGGAUGACGGUAGUAAAGAGACAGGCUCAGUCUCCCGCGGGAGUCUCGAGUGAGGUGGAGGUCCUCAAAGCCCUUAAGUCACUUUUUGAACACCACAAAGCCCUCGAUGAGAAGGUGAGGGAGCGACUACGCGUUGCCUUGGAAAGAUGCAGCGCGUUGGAGGAGCAGCUCACCCUCUCACACAAAGAAUUGGUUUACCUCAGGGAGCAGAGCAUCCAGAAGAGAGGGAUGGCAGACGGAACCAGCGAGGUCAACCACAACUCUGAAAACACACCGAGCACUAAUGGCAAGCGGUCAUCUGACGGGUCGCUGAGUCAGGAGGAGGAGUUGGUUCAUGGGUUCGGGAAGGUCAGCGAGCUCAAGGAUGUGGUGGACCGGCAGUCGGCUGAUCUGGGCCAGAUGAAGGAGCGCAUGGGUGCUAUGGUUUCACGCAUCAGCGAGCUGGAGGAGGACCUAGACACGGCCCGGAAGGACCUCAUCAAGUCCGAAGACAUGAACACACGGCUACAGAGAGACCUGAGAGAGUCGAUGGCUCAGAAGGAAGACAUGGAGGAGAGGAUCACCACCCUGGAGAAGCGCUACCUGGCAGCUCAGCGGGAGGCCACCUCCGUCCACGACCUCAAUGACAAGCUGGAGAACGAAGUGGCCAACAAGGACUCCCUCUUCAGACAGACUGAGGACAGAAACCGACAACUCCAAGAGAAGCUGGAGCUGGCUGAGCAGAAGCUGCAGCAGACCAUCCGCAAGGCGGAGACUCUGCCUGAGGUGGAAGCAGAGCUGGCUCAGCGGGUAGCUGCCCUCACCAAGUGUGUUCUGUGUGGCUCUAAAGGCGCUAAGACUCAAAAGAAGGCUGAAGAACGCCAUGGCAAUGUGGAGGAGAGACUGAAGCAGCUGGAGGCUCAACUGGAGGAGAAGAACCAGGAACUGCUCAGGGCACGGCAGCGAGAAAAGAUGAACGAGGAGCACAACAAGCGCCUGUCAGAGACGGUUGACAAGCUCCUCUCGGAGUCCAACGAGAGACUCCAGCUUCACCUCAAAGAGAGGAUGUCUGCUCUGGAGGAUAAGAAUGCCCUGAUAAGAGAACUGGAGCACACAAAGAAGUUGAUAGAGGAGUCUCACCAUGAAAAGGAGCAACUCCUGAUCCAGAUUGAGACCAUGAGGGCAGAGAACGAGCAGGGAAGAAGCAGGAGCAACUCCUUACUACAUGGGCGGUCUCAGCUAGGCAGCACUCCAGAUUUCAGGUACCCAGUGUCGGCUUCCUCGAUGAUGGACAGUAACUCGGACCAUUACGGCAGCGCUCUAGUGCUGAGACGGCCUCAAAAGGGACGGAUCGCAGCGCUGCGGGACGAGCCGUCCAAGCGACAUGUGCAGACCUUGAACGAGCAGGAGUGGGAGCGCAUGCAGCAGGCCAACGUGCUGGCGAACGUGGCCCAGGCCUUUGAGAGUGACAUGGACGCGUCGGACCUGGAGGAGGACAGAGAAACGAUCUUCAGCUCGGUGGACCUGCUGUCGCCUGGUGGCCAGGCGGACGCACAGACCCUCGCCUUAAUGCUGCAGGAGCAGCUGGACGCUAUCAACAAUGAAAUUAGAAUGAUCCAGGAGGAGAAGGAGAGCACAGCCAUCCGGGCAGAGGAGAUUGAGUGCAGGGUGGGCAGCGGCGAUAGCCUGGGAGGACGUUUCCGCUCCAUGAGCUCCAUCCCCCCGUCACUUUGUGCGGGCUCGUCGUUGGGCGACUCUCCCCCAGGCUCCGGCCACUCCACCCCCAGACGCGUUUCCCGCAGCCCCAACAGAGAAAUGGACCGCAUGGGUGUCAUGACCUUGCCUAGUGACCUGCGCAAGCACCGCAGGAAGUCUGCUCAGGAUGACAAGGCCACUAUUCGAUGUGAGACGUCGCCGCCCACCACUCCACGCUCCAUGCGCCUGAACAGGGAGGCAGGGCAUGCUGCCAGCCAUGAGGACAUCAGAGACAUUCGAGGUCUGGCUGGCCUGCAGGACGGCCAGGGUAGUAACCCUAGCAGUAGUAACAGCAGCCAGGACUCGCUCAACAAAGCAGCCAAGAAGAAGAGCAUCAAGUCUUCAAUUGGACGCCUCUUCGGGAAGAAGGAGAAGGGCCGACCCAGCAUUCCCGGCAAAGACUCCCCCAGCCAAGCUGGCACUCCUGAGGCAGAGAGCUCUCCUAAGGAUGGCUUAGGAAUGGGCACCCUGGGAGGCCCUGCAGAGAAGAACCGGAAGCUGCAGAAAAAUCCAAUGACAGGGCAUGAAUUACUGGAAGAGGCUCGCAUGCAGGGCCUGCCAUUCGCCCAGUGGGACGGACCAACGGUGGUAGUUUGGCUGGAGCUGUGGGUGGGCAUGCCAGCCUGGUACGUGGCUGCAUGCCGGGCCAACGUGAAGAGCGGAGCCAUCAUGUCAGCGCUAUCGGACACGGAGAUCCAGAGAGAGAUUGGGAUCAGCAACCCGUUACAUCGUCUGAAACUUCGUCUGGCCAUCCAGGAAAUCAUGUCUCUCACCAGCCCGUCUGCCCCGCCAACAUCUAGAACGACCACUGGAAACGUUUGGGUCACACAUGAAGAAAUGGAAAGUUUGGCAGCCACACCUCCCACGGAGGAUGACGAGGGUAGCUGGGCCCAGACGUUGGCGUACGGCGACAUGAACCACGAGUGGAUCGGUAACGAGUGGCUGCCCAGCCUGGGUCUGCCACAGUACCGCUCCUACUUCAUGGAGUCCCUGGUGGACGCCCGCAUGCUCGACCACCUCACCAAGAAAGACCUUAGGGGACAGCUCAAAAUGGUGGAUAGCUUCCACAGGAACAGUUUUCAGUGUGGAGUGAUGUGUCUGAGGAGGCUCAACUACGACAGGAAGGAGCUGGAGAGGAGAAGGCAAGACUGUCAGCUGGAACUUCAAGACGUGCUGGUGUGGAGCAAUGAGCGUGUGAUCAGCUGGAUUCAGGCCAUCGGGCUGAAAGAGUACAGCAGCAACCUUUACGAGAGCGGCGUCCACGGAGCGCUGCUCGCCCUCGACGAAACCUUCGAUCACAACACCCUGGCCCUCCUGCUCCAGAUCCCCACGCAGAACACACAGGCCAGAGCAGCUCUUGAGCGUGAAUACAACAGCUUGCUGGCCAUUGGCACAGAACGGAGAAUGGAAGAGGACGACGAUAAGAACUUCCGCCGAGCCCCGUCAUGGAGAAAGAAGUUCAGGCCCAAAGACAUGAGGGGGGUGUCCUUGGGUGCGUCUGACACCCUGCCCGCCAACUUCCGAGUGACCGCUAGCAGCGCGGCAUCUCCCUCCACGCAGCCAAAGAGGAGCCCGAUGGACGGAAGUCAGUCUAUACAGAGGCUGGACACUGCCACAGUCAGGACCUACUCCUGUUAACACACAACGUUUAUCCUCAUUAUUUCUAUAGGUAACCGCUGGUCCGAAGAUGAAGGGGAGUUCCCUGCCUUCAAGACCAGGAUGAUGAACUGAAACGACGUGCAAACACACUAAAAAGAUGGUUUUUAUUAUUGAGUGUGUUGUCAUCGCAGAGAAAGACCUUACUCACCAAUCUCAGUAUCCCAAGUGGAAACCUUCUAGAUUCAUCCACAGUUGUUAUUGUAUUUAUGUAAAACCCUUGGGACAUAUACAUGAUUUUAGAAUUACUAUGUAAUCCUUCUUCUUUUUGUUGCUUCUAUCCCCCUUUUAUCAACCCACAACCCACUUUUUAAAAGAAACCUUUCCCCACUUUGCCCGUAUUAAGCUCAGCUCUAAGAUGUAUGUAACUAAAGGAGUUUUAAUUGUCUGGAGUUUGUAUAUUUCUACCAACAGACAUUUUAUCUAAUCUUUUUAUAUAAUCCUGAUUCUAUUGACCAGAUGUAUGUUGUUUUUGUUUCUUCUUCUUCUCUUUGAUUUAAUUUCUAAUCAUUGAAUUCACGCUUAAGUGACUUUGACAUGUGAUAUAACUGAAUUCAUAAUUCAUAUCCUUUUUUAACUGGUGUACUUUUUGUAGCUCCUUGCCUGUGAUUGAGUGUAAAUGCAGCUCUUAGGUCAACGGAUGAGUGAAUAUCAGACAAACUGCUGAAGUUGUCAGGCUGUUUCAACAAACUGCUCAACACUGUGAGUCAUCCAUCACCUUUAAAAAUAACUGCUGGUAAGC
Molecule: RNA transcript, 5594 nt
Organism: Etheostoma cragini (Arkansas darter)
Lineage: Eukaryota; Metazoa; Chordata; Actinopteri; Perciformes; Percidae
Gene: ppfia1
Gene name: PTPRF interacting protein alpha 1
Exons: 37
Source: RefSeq, a predicted model, not a curated record